Molecule: ribosomal RNA, 781 nt
Filed under: uncultured archaeon
Lineage: Archaea
Description: bacterial SSU rRNA
Rfam family: Archaeal small subunit ribosomal RNA
Source: RNAcentral
ACUGCUCAGUAACACGUGAUCAACUUACCCUAUAGAGGAAAAUAACCUCGGGAAACUGAGGAUAAUGUUCCAUAGUUGAAUCGGCUUGGAAAAGUUUUUCAAUAAAAGGGAUAAGGAAAAUGGUCCUUAUCUGCUAUAGGAUAGGAUCGUGCUCGAUUAUGGUUGUUGGUGAGGUAAAGGCUCACCAAGCCGAUAAUCGAUAGGGGCCGUGAGAGCGGGAGCCCCGAGAUGGGUACUGAGACAACGACCCAGGCCUUACGAGGCGCAGCAGGCGCGAAACCUCCGCAAUACACGAAAGUGUGACGGGGUUACCCAAAGUGUUCUAUUUAGAACUGUGGUAGGUGAGUAAUGUCCCCUACUAGAAAGGAGAGGGCAAGGCUGGUGCCAGCCGCCGCGGUAAAACCAGCUCUUCAAGUGGUCGGGAUAAUUAUUGGGCUUAAAGUGUCCGUAGCCGGUUUAGUAAGUUCCUGGUAAAAUCGGGUAGCUUAACUAUCUAUAUGCUAGGAAUACUGCUAUACUAGAGGGCGGGAGAGGUCUGAGGUACUACAGGGGUAGGGGUGAAAUCUUAUAAUCCUUGUAGGACCACCAGUGGCGAAGGCGUCAGACUGGAACGCGCCUGACGGUGAGGGACGAAAGCCAGGGGAGCGAACCGGAUUAGAUACCCGGGUAGUCCUGGCCGUAAACGAUGCAUACUAGGUGAUGGCACGGCCAUGAGCCGUGUCAGUGCCGUAGGGAAACCGUUAAGUGUGCCGCCUGGGAAGUACGGUCGCAAGGCUAAAAC